AAGAUCAUACUUCACAGGAUCAUUUCUGUAGUAUAUCUUCACAUACUCUAGCACUAUCACUAGAACUAACACAAAACCUAGAACUAGAAUCAUUCGGGUUUAGCCAUCUUGAGAGGCGAAUGGCUAAACCCGAAUGUUUCUAGUUCUAGGU
This is a small nucleolar RNA of Onthophagus taurus, 151 nucleotides long. RefSeq annotates it as small nucleolar RNA U3. Lineage: Eukaryota; Metazoa; Arthropoda; Insecta; Coleoptera; Scarabaeidae. The record is from RefSeq and is a predicted model, not a curated record.